RNAcentral lists this unclassified non-coding RNA (279 nucleotides) under Hevea brasiliensis (rubber tree). The record is from RNAcentral. Lineage: Eukaryota; Viridiplantae; Streptophyta; Magnoliopsida; Malpighiales; Euphorbiaceae.
GAGGGUAGGGCCGGUUCGCCAAUAAAAUAGGAAAAGGCCAGCUCCAGUUCUACCACAGCAAUUGCCAGCGAGGGACUUGGCAGAGAACGCCAAUUUCUUUUCCUUCAUUUCUCUCGCUCCCUUGCAAAUUCCCUCAAUGGCUCUCUCCGAUUCUUCUCGCCAAUCCCUUAUCCCUAGCUUCAUCUACUCCUCUGCCUCUCCCAAAACCCUUUCUCUUUCCAAACUCCUCCACUCUAAUCCCACCCAACCUUCCCCUUCGCCGUCGCCAUCACUCAUGAG